RNAcentral lists this long non-coding RNA (635 nucleotides) under Chrysemys picta bellii (western painted turtle). RNAcentral describes it as "lncRNA (ENSCPBG00000028195.1)". Lineage: Eukaryota; Metazoa; Chordata; Testudines; Emydidae. The record is from RNAcentral.
AGGUGCGCGGGCUCGGGGUGGCUAGGUCCGGGGCCGCGUCACUCCGGGACUGCGCUCUCGGGAGCGCCUCGGCCGGGGAUAGUGGCCCUGCGACUUCCCACCCCCCCGGGGGCAGAGUGACCAGAGCUGCCUGGAGCGUCCCACUCGAGUUAGCGGCCCCGCGCGGGCAGCGCGCCCCGGGCUCUCCCGCCUGUCCUGGGUUUAUACAUUGUCUACACUAUGGUUCUGUGCAAAGUGCCACUCUCCAAACAGAGAGGGAACUGGGUGGAAGACACUGCUCCCCAGGCCAUGUAUGCCCAGAGCACUGACACCAUUCGGCAUCUCUGCUUGUACCUUGGACAAUGGGCACAUUCCAGAAAAAAAGCGUUAGACAUUUCCGAUGAGACGCCUGCCGUACAAAGGGGCCUCUUAGCAAGUGGCUGGAGCAAACACACGCUGCUGUUCCGAGCUAGCUCCCUGCAGCGCUGCAACUCCUGGGGCUACAUAUUCCAGCUCCGCGGGGAGAGUCUGUGUCGGCCCCUGGCGUUGCACACCACUUCACACUCAACGCCAUCAGGAGCAACUGAACCACGUCUCCCACUUGUUGGUGUCUGGAGCCUUGAUUGCUUGUUGGUCCUGUCUCUGUUUUGUACGUA